Molecule: ribosomal RNA, 425 nt
Filed under: Anisepyris sp.
Lineage: Eukaryota; Metazoa; Arthropoda; Insecta; Hymenoptera; Bethylidae
Description: partial large subunit ribosomal RNA
Source: RNAcentral
AAAACAUUUCUUUUUUAUAAAAAUAAAAAGUAGACUCUGCCCAAUGAUUAUUUAAAUGGCUGCAGUAUAUUAACUGUACAAAGGUAGCAUAAUAAUUUGAUUUUUAAUUGAAAUCUUGAAUGAAGGAGGUGAUGAAAUAUAAACUUUAUUAAAUUAAAAUUUUGAAUUUAAAUUUAGAGUUAAAAUGCUCUAAUAUUUUUAUGGGACGAGAAGACCCUAUAGAAUUUUAUAUAAUUUAAAUUAAUUAAAUAAUAUGUAAUAAUUUAAAUUAUAUUUAUUUGGGAGGAAUAUUAAAUUUAUAAACUUUAAUUAAUAAAUACAUAAAUAUAUGGAUUUUUAGGAUUUUAUUAAUUAAUUAUAAAAUAAAAUUACCUUAGGGAUAACAGCGUAAUAUUUUUUUAUAGUUCAUAUUGAAAAAAAUGUUU